Molecule: ribosomal RNA, 164 nt
Filed under: Goodenia filiformis
Lineage: Eukaryota; Viridiplantae; Streptophyta; Magnoliopsida; Asterales; Goodeniaceae
Description: 5.8S ribosomal RNA
Rfam family: 5.8S ribosomal RNA
About the family: 5.8S ribosomal RNA (5.8S rRNA) is a component of the large subunit of the eukaryotic ribosome. It is transcribed by RNA polymerase I as part of the 45S precursor that also contains 18S and 28S rRNA.
Source: RNAcentral
CAAACGACUCUCGGCAACGGAUAUCUCGGCUCAUGCAUCGAUGAAGAACGUAGCGAAAUGCGAUACUUGGUGUGAAUUGCAGAAUCCCGUGAACCAUCGAGUCUUUGAACGCAAGUUGCGCCCGAAGCCAUCAGGCCGAGGGCACGUCUGCCUGGGCGUCACGC